GAGAGCACAGUACGAUGAAAGUUGUGAGUUGUGUUCGGGGGGGAGUUAUUGUCUAUCAUUGGCCUCUAUGGUAUAAUCAGUCAGGGAGGCCUGAGAAACAAUGGUUUACCCUGU
Non-coding RNA from Picea glauca (white spruce), 114 nucleotides. The record is from Rfam. Lineage: Eukaryota; Viridiplantae; Streptophyta; Pinopsida; Pinales; Pinaceae.